Mauremys mutica (yellowpond turtle) is the source of this 1556-nucleotide long non-coding RNA. RefSeq lists it as uncharacterized. NCBI's taxonomy places the organism in Eukaryota, Metazoa, Chordata, Testudines, Geoemydidae. The record is from RefSeq and is a predicted model, not a curated record. The transcript has 4 exons.
UCCGCAUCAGCUGGGGCUGGCUUUGUUUAAAAAAAAAAAAAAAGAAAAAAGUUUCUGAACAGCACAGGUUAUGAGGGAGACAAGGUCCCCAUUUUCAGGGGGUGCUCAUGUCCAGUAGUUUUGUGUCUUCUGCAGCAGAAGGUUAGAUCCAGGAGGAUGACACCCAGGUGGCAAGUUGCUUGCCUUCCUCCUAUGUUUUUCUCUCUUUUCUAAUAUGUUGGCCAACACACACCGUCUCUCUGACUCUGUCUGUCUCUCUCUGUCCUUACCUUUCCUUGUGCCAUCUCCCUUCAUAGGACACAGGCAGGGGUGCUCAGUGUGCAUCCCCCCCAGGCUAGGUCUUGGGAGCCAUGGAGCAGUAGGAGCGGAGAAAAAUCAUGAGGGGCAGUGAGCACUAAAGUGGAGCGGUUACUGUCUGCUUUUACCCAGUCUCUGUUCAUCGAGUCAGCCUGAGUUUGCGGCGGAAUCGUCCAGGAGCCCUCACCGGAGGAGAAACUGGCAAAGGUUGAUCUGAGCUGCCUGGACUUUAUUCUAAGGAGACAUGAACAGUCCUCAGCUUUCUGCCUCUCAUGGAAAAGAAAUCUCGCGUCAGAGUCUGCUGUCCUCAUGCGAUGGAAAGUGAGUGAGAGCGAUGGGACUGCGAGAGUUAUUGAUGCCACGCAAAAGCCGUCCAACCGGGAUCAGAACAGCUGCCAGUGAGAUAAGUGUCUGUUUUGGUGAUUGCUGUGCUCAUGGCCCACCUUGCUCCUGGUAGGGACGUCCCGUUUGCUGGGGCUGUGUUUGUAAGAAAAUGUUUUUGAGUAGCUGUGGUUGAGAGAGACAAGGUCCCCAUUUUCAGGGGCUGCUCAGUUUUCUGGCCAGUAGCGGUGUGUCCUCCGCAGCAGAAAGAUCUAGGAGGAUGAGUCAAGGUGGCGAGUUGCUUGCCUUCCUCCUGUGUUUCUGUCUCUGUCCUCUAGUAUGUUGGCUAACACACACACCCUCUUUCUAUCUUUACCUUUCCUUGUGCGGUCUCCCUUCGUAGAACACGGGCAGGUGUUCUAGGUGCACAUCUCCAUAGGUUAGGUCUUGGGAGCCCUGAAAUAGUAGGAGUGGAUGAAAACCAUGUGGGGCAGUGGGCGCUAAAGUGAAGCAGUGACUGUCGGUGUUAACUUGGUCUCCGUUCAUCGAGUGGGGCCGAUCUAGAUGGGAUGGGAGAGGGAGGCAGGAUGAGAGCAAGAUUUCAAGCACCAUUAGAGCUUUGUGUUGUGAUGGUUCAUGCUUGGCUUUUGCAGCUGCUCUUGCAGAGGAAUUGUCCAGGAGCCCUCGCCGGAGCAGAAACUGGCAGAGGUGCAUCUGAGCAGCCUGAACAUCCUUCUAAGCAGACACGAACAGUCCUCGGCUUUCUGCUUCCUGCAUAACUGGCUUACCAAGGAAAAACAAGUCACACGUCGGAGUCUACUGCCCUUGUGCGAUGGAAAGUGAGUGAGAGCAGCGAGCCUGUGAGCAUUGUUCAGGCCAGGCAAGAGCCGUCCAUCUGGGAGCUGAGCAGAGGCCACUGUCACUGAGAUAAGUGUCUG